RNAcentral lists this ribosomal RNA (246 nucleotides) under uncultured bacterium. Its description in RNAcentral is "partial 16S ribosomal RNA". It matches the Rfam family "Bacterial small subunit ribosomal RNA", at positions 15 to 249 of the family's 1533-position model. The record is from RNAcentral.
GAUCCUGGCUCAGGAUGAACGCUAGCUACAGGCUUAACACAUGCAAGUCGAGGGGAAACGACAUCGAAAGCUUGCUUUUGAUGGGCGUCGACCGGCGCACGGGUGGGUAACGCGUAUCCAACCUGCCCAUCACUUGGGAAUAACCUUGCGAAAGUAAGACUAAUACCCAAUGAUAUCCCACGAAGGCAUCCGAAUGGGAUUAAAGAUUUAUCGGUGAUGGAGUGGGGAUGCGUCUGAUUAGCUUGG